Long non-coding RNA from Molossus molossus (Pallas's mastiff bat), 828 nucleotides. RefSeq lists it as uncharacterized. The transcript has 4 exons. The record is from RefSeq and is a predicted model, not a curated record. Lineage: Eukaryota; Metazoa; Chordata; Mammalia; Chiroptera; Molossidae.
UUCACACUGCAGCCUGGGGUGGGGUAGAAAGGGGCACCGGGGUGGGGAGGGCCCAGGUAAAGAGGCUGGACAUCCACUGUCUCCCCUCAUCCAGGCCUCCCUUGCUCACCGCCUCUAGGAAGUCUGCCAAAUGCCGCUACAUGCUCCAUCUUCCCUGGUACGUUCCACGGAGGCUCCUCCCCACCCCUGUCCGCUAACGGCCACUGGUGCGAGCCUGGCGCUAUGGGAGCCUGAACUUCCUGCUGACUGAGGCCUGAUCACACACUGGGGCAGGCGGGUGCAAGUCAGCAGGGCCACGAGUCCAUCUCUGCGUCCCUCCAGCGCAGAUCAACAGGCACCUGGGACCCCGGCAGGUGGAGGCCGGGGGCCUAGGGAGGUAAGGACGCCCAGACACACAGAGGGAGCAAACGACACAGCCGGGCUUUGGGCCAUCAUCAGUGUGAGUGACACAGCACAAGGAGGCCCUGUCCUGGGGGGUCAGAGGUGGCGUCCUGGUGAAGAACCAGGACUUCGUUGGAACUGGAGAUGCUCCCUGUGCGAGGAAUUCCAGUGGCCCAGUUAUGUUACUUUGGUGCAGAGGCAGGUGUGUGGUGGACGGGAAAGAACAUGUGGACUCUGGGAGCGUUCAGCCCGGGUUAGAGUUCCGGUCCCCAUCUUAGCGGCACGUGAACAUCACCUCUCUGAGCCUGUUUCCCACUGAGAGCCCAGACCUGCUGACUGCCAGACUUGUCCUGUGUGCGCGCGUGUACACACGAGUACACACACACAUCUACACACAUAUACACACACACCUACACACACACCUACACACGUACACACACAUCUACA